Molecule: ribosomal RNA, 467 nt
Filed under: Acinetobacter baumannii
Lineage: Bacteria; Pseudomonadati; Pseudomonadota; Gammaproteobacteria; Moraxellales; Moraxellaceae
Description: bacterial SSU rRNA
Rfam family: Bacterial small subunit ribosomal RNA
Source: RNAcentral
AAAUUGAAGAGUUUGAUCAUGGCUCAGAUUGAACGCUGGCGGCAGGCUUAACACAUGCAAGUCGAGCGGUAGCACAGAGAGCUUGCUCUCGGGUGACGAGCGGCGGACGGGUGAGUAAUGUCUGGGAAACUGCCUGAUGGAGGGGGAUAACUACUGGAAACGGUAGCUAAUACCGCAUAAUGUCGCAAGACCAAAGUGGGGGACCUUCGGGCCUCAUGCCAUCAGAUGUGCCCAGAUGGGAUUAGCUAGUAGGUGGGGUAACGGCUCACCUAGGCGACGAUCCCUAGCUGGUCUGAGAGGAUGACCAGCCACACUGGAACUGAGACACGGUCCAGACUCCUACGGGAGGCAGCAGUGGGGAAUAUUGCACAAUGGGCGCAAGCCUGAUGCAGCCAUGCCGCGUGUGUGAAGAAGGCCUUCGGGUUGUAAAGCACUUUCAGCGGGGAGGAAGGCGUUAAGGUUAAUAA